Molecule: non-coding RNA, 118 nt
Organism: Microdochium trichocladiopsis
Lineage: Eukaryota; Fungi; Ascomycota; Sordariomycetes; Xylariales; Microdochiaceae
Source: the annotation of a RefSeq genome assembly
GGCUUCGUGGCCCAAUGGCAAGGCGUCUGACUACGACUUCCCAUGAUCUACAUGGGGAACAACACACCCGCUGGAAUUCGGCAUCAGGAGAUUCUGGGUUCGAUCCCCAGCGAAGUCA